RNAcentral lists this ribosomal RNA (386 nucleotides) under Nemertea sp. RNAcentral describes it as "partial small subunit ribosomal RNA". It matches the Rfam family "Eukaryotic small subunit ribosomal RNA", at positions 582 to 975 of the family's 1831-position model. The record is from RNAcentral. Lineage: Eukaryota; Metazoa; Nemertea.
AUUCCAGCUCCAAUAGCGUAUAUUAAAAUUGUUGCAGUUAAAAAGCUCGUAGUUGGAUCUGCGGUUAGGGCUUGCGGUCCACCACGCGGUGGCACUGCUCGUCCCGACCUACAUCGAAUUGACCCGCGUUGCUCUUCACUGAGUGACCGGGAAGGCUCGAACGUUUACUUUGAAAAAAUUAGAGUGUUCAUAGCAGGCAGUCCGCCCGAAUAAUGUUGCAUGGAAUAAUGGAAUAGGACCUCGGUUCUAUUUUGUUGGUUUUCGGAAUUGAGGUAAUGAUUAAUAGGGACGGCCGGGGGCAUUCGUAUUACGGUGUUAGUGGUGAAAUUCUGGGAUCAUCGUAAGACGAACUACAGCGAAAGCAUUUGCCAAGAAUGUUUUCAUCA